Non-coding RNA from Pelobates cultripes (western spadefoot toad), 218 nucleotides. The record is from the annotation of a GenBank genome assembly. Lineage: Eukaryota; Metazoa; Chordata; Amphibia; Anura; Pelobatidae.
CGUGGUUUCCUGUUCCUGGUUCCCCAGAGUGCGUUUAUCUUUGUGAAUCUGACUUCCUGGUAUCCUGAUCUUGGCUUUUUCCCUGGUUAUUCCGAAUUCUGGUUCCCCUGACUUGGCUUGUUUAAACGGUAUCUGAGUAUUUCUGGCUUCCUUGACCUCGGCUUUCCCUUUGACCAUUGUCUAUCUCUAGCGUAUUAGUCCGGCCAUUCUAAGGUCCG